Nematostella vectensis (starlet sea anemone) is the source of this 2821-nucleotide RNA transcript. It is a transcript of the gene named potassium voltage-gated channel subfamily F member 1, with no coding region annotated. Lineage: Eukaryota; Metazoa; Cnidaria; Anthozoa; Actiniaria; Edwardsiidae. The record is from RefSeq and is a predicted model, not a curated record. The transcript has 6 exons.
AUGGACGAUUAAGCUUCAAAAGCUCUAAAAUUGAUGCCCAGCGGCACAUCUUUUGAUAGAAUAUCUUUCUAGUUAAUAUACAACUCGCAGUACUAAGUUAGUUCGUCGUUAUAGUGCGUAGCCCAGACACGCGCGCUAGCGUGGAAACCUCGACUAUUGAGGAUGUGAGACACACAUGCUUUCUAAUUGACAUGAAUUGUACUACACAAACUACGAGGGAAAGAAAUGCUCGCGCCUCAGAACACGGCGGAAUAAGCGCCUCAGAACACGGCGGAAUAAGCGCCUCAGAACACGGCGGAAUAAGCGCCUCAUAACACGGCGGAAUAAGCGCCACAGAACACGGCGGAAUAAGCGCCUCAGAACACGGCGGAAUAAGCGCCUCAGAACAAGGCGGAAUAAGCGCCACAGAACACGGCGGAAUAAGCGCCUCAGAACACGGCGGAAUAGGCGCCUAAAAAAAACUUUGUAUUGGUGGCCACGCGUCGCACACAAUAAUAGGCAAUUAGUAUGACGGCACAUUGCCAAAAGAUGGUAAAUUACAUAGACAUCAGAGGUGAAUUGAUAGAAUAAACAAUAUAAUUAUCUUAACACGAGUCGGGUUUUCGCACACCAGUACAAUGUUUUUACCCUGCCGGCUUAACCUCCAUUCGCCCAACUCGUGAAAUGUUUUUUAAGAUUAGAAUCUUGUUACUGCCCAUCAUAGGGUUUGGACUUAGGGCCGACAAUAUCACCAUUUGCCCAAAGGAUCUAGCAGUGUUGCAAAUCUACUGGAACACUCUUAUUCCUUACAUAUAUCCAAAGAAUAACACAGCGAGCGAACCCGAAGGAGAGUUGGUGGAGUACUUUGCGUUGGCUUCUACAUUCUGUGGUUGCGGUGACCAAGUCAAACUUAACUUUACGAGGAUGAACGUGUCGUCAUCAGCCGAGAUAGAGCUGUUUAUUCGACACUCCAUGCCCAACAUAGUACCGCGAUUGGUGUUUCCCGUCAUCACCAAAACUGGUGUGAAUAUACAAUACCUGCGGAGAUUUUUGGCAUUUCACCGCUCGCCAGGACCGGCGAUUCUUGAAUAUGUGCAAACGAAUGGUGGCAAGAUCAGUUUUACCGAAAUGGCAGUGCGUUCUGUCCCAUAUCUUAUCAUUAUGGUGUUAAUAGCGAUUUCUGCAGGCACUCUUGUUUGGGGCAUUGAAAUGCAUAAAAACUCAGAGCAGUUCUCGCGACCAUUUCCUCAUGGGGCCCUUAACGGCGUAUGGUGGUCUUUCGUCACUAUGACAACAGUCGGGUAUGGCGAUAAAUCCCCUGUGUCAGUCAUAGGUCGCAUGGUCGGCAUAAUUUGGAUGAUCGUGGGGACUAUACUUAUGUCGCUCUUUAACGCACAAAUAACAGCAGCCUUCGCAUCUAACGAAAUCGGUCAGGAAGUAUCUCUAGUUGGAGAAAAGGUGGCCUUGCAGUUGGGGACGGAGAAUUUCUUCUCAACCGAGACUAACCUGGGGGGGAUCUACCAAGAGCUUGAGAUAGAUGCAUACGCCACAGAAUUCCCAACCGGUCCAUUCAAGUACUUUCUCGUCCACGACUAUAUUGCUGUGCAGCAGUAUCCGGAUGAGACCGUGAAAAUGGUGAAAACAAUACACCAUGAGGUAAACAACAAACCCAGACGUAAAUAACACCCACAGAGGUAAACAACACACCGAAAGGUAAACAACACCCACAGAGGUUAACAAUACACCAAGAGGCAAACAACACGAGAGGUAAACAACACACCGAGAGGUAAACAACACCCACAGAGGUAAACAAAACACCCAGAGGUAAACAAUGCACCCAGAGGCAAACAACACACCGAGAGGUAAACAACACCCACAGAGGUAAACAACACACCGAGAGGCAAACAAUACACCGAGAGGCAAACAAUACACCAAGAGGUAAACAACAUGUGAGGUAAAAACUACACCCAGAGGUAAAAUACACACCAAGAGGUAAACAAUGCACCCAGAGGCAAACAACACUCCCAGAGUUCAACAACACACCGAGAGGUAAACAACAUGUGAGGUAAAAACUACACCCAGAGGUAAAAUACACACCAAGAGGUAAACAAUGCACCCAGAGGCAAACAACACUCCCAGAGGUCAACAACACACCGAGAGGUAAACAAUACACCAAGAGGUGAACAACACACCGAAAGGUGAACAACACACCGAGAGGUAAACAAUACACCAAGAGGUGAACAACACACCGAAAGGUGAACAACACACCGAGAGGCAAACAAUACACCGAGAGGCAAACAAUACACCAAGAGGUAAACAACAUGUGAGGUAAAAACUACACCCAGAGGUAAAAUACACACCAAGAGGUAAACAAUGCACCCAGAGGCAAACAACACUCCCAGAGGUCAACAACACACCGAGAGGUAAACAAUACACCAAGAGGUGAACAACACACCGAAAGGUGAACAAAACACCGAGAGGUAAACAACACACCAAGAGGUAAACAACAUCCACAGAGGCAAACAACACACCGAGAGGUAAACAAUACACCGAGAGGUAAACAAUACACCGAGAGGUAAACAACACACCGAGAGGUAAACAACACACCGAGAGGUAAACAACACCCACAGAGGUUAACAAUACACCAAGAGGUAAACAACACGUGAGGUAAACAAUACACGCAGGGGCAAACAACACACCGAGAGGUAAACACACCUCACAGUUUCCUUAAAUUUUCAGUGUUUCAUUAUUUUUAUCGAAUCAAGAGCAUUGGACACCAAUUCACAAACACCGCGAAAAUGAGUAACAAAAACUCAUAAUACCUCAUAAAAUAUGAAACUAC